Non-coding RNA from Paramuricea clavata, 743 nucleotides. The record is from the annotation of a GenBank genome assembly. NCBI's taxonomy places the organism in Eukaryota, Metazoa, Cnidaria, Anthozoa, Malacalcyonacea, Plexauridae.
AAAUUUCGGCUGCAUGCCACAGCCUUCUUCAGAGUGCCUAUAGCUUUACACAGAACAUACUUAUAUACAGGGACGCCGGAACUGGGGGGCAGGGGGGGCGGCUGCCCCCCCCUGCCUUUUGCUAGGGGCGGCAGGGGGGGCAGAAGUGCCCUUUUGGUUAUAAAAAAAAUACGUGAUAAAUGACAUUUAGAAGGAAGGUUUUUGUCCGAAAAAUAUGAGAUUCAGACAAUUUAGAGUUAUAUUUCACUUAUGGUAUGUCCGGAAAAUUUUUUUUUUGGGGGGGGGGUGGGGAGGUCGCCAAACUUUUUGGAUAAAAAAAAUCGGAAGAUUUCGAAGUUUCGCUUUAGACAAGUGCCCUUGCUGUGGGUCCGCCCCCCUUUGCCUUAUGAUCGUUCCGGCGUCCCUGCUUAUAUACAAUAAAUUAUGAAUAAAUUACUAUUGUUGGGCGAAAUCAUGACUUCCAUUAAGGCCUUUCCGGUUGGUCAACAACAUUCCUAUCCAAAAGUUUUCACUCUUAAGUACUUCACUAUGGUGUUGGUUGUUUCACUCUUAAAUACUUCACUAUGGUGUGAUAGUUGUAAGAACUUUUUGAUUUUUGGCAAUUCCUUUCGUGCAGCUGCCACUGGAAGGAUAUUUCUCAUUUUAAAAUCUUUGACGUGCACUUCCAGUAAUGUAGUGUAUCUUGCUGAGUGUGUGCUUUGUGGUUUGCAAGGUGUUGGCUCUACGGCCAAUUUUAAGUCCAG